AGCAUAGCUCAGUUGGUAGAGCAGCUGAUUUGUAAUCAGCUGGUCGUGGGUUCGAGUCCCUCUGCUG
Molecule: transfer RNA, 67 nt
Filed under: human gut metagenome
Also listed under: 1 other name
Rfam family: tRNA
About the family: Transfer RNA (tRNA) molecules are approximately 80 nucleotides in length. Their secondary structure includes four short double-helical elements and three loops (D, anti-codon, and T loops). Further hydrogen bonds mediate the characteristic L-shaped molecular structure. tRNAs have two regions of fundamental functional importance: the anti-codon, which is responsible for specific mRNA codon recognition, and the 3' end, to which the tRNAs corresponding amino acid is attached (by aminoacyl-tRNA synthetases). tRNAs cope with the degeneracy of the genetic code in two manners: having more than one tRNA (with a specific anti-codon) for a particular amino acid; and 'wobble' base-pairing, i.e. permitting non-standard base-pairing at the 3rd anti-codon position.
Source: RNAcentral